This 742-nucleotide long non-coding RNA is filed under the name Salmo salar (Atlantic salmon). RNAcentral's name for it is "lncRNA (ENSSSAG00000103114.1)". Lineage: Eukaryota; Metazoa; Chordata; Actinopteri; Salmoniformes; Salmonidae. The record is from RNAcentral.
GUUAACAUCUACAGCCAUGGACACUACAGGUUAACAUCUACAGCCAUGGACACUACGAGUUAACAUCUACAGCCAUGGACACUACGGGUUAACAUCUACAGCCAUGGACACUAUGGGUUAACAUCUACAGCCAUGGACACUACGGGUUAACAUCUACAGCCAUGGACACUACAGGUUAACAUCUACAGCCAUGGACACUAUGGGUUAACAUCUACAGCCAUGGAUGCUACAGGUUAACAUCUACAGCCAUGGACACUACGGGUUAACAUCUACACGUAUUCAGUUUGGAUGACUCCCGCUAUGGGCUGGAACAGUGGUAAAUCUAGAUGUAUCAACGUGGAUGGGUACGUCGUAGAAUUGAAGAGUUAGACAGACAAUCUUCACUUGUCAAUGGAGAUGGGCAUAGGUAAAUCUGCAUUGGAUGGAAGUGGGUGAGAUAUGAUGUGGUUGGUGUGUGUGUGUGUGUGUGUUUUUGAUAUUGUAACAGACAGUACGGGAGAGUAAGAGAGAAAAAGCCAGAGGGUUGACAUUCAUGAUUGGCUUUUUCAGACUAGGCAUAAGAGACACGCUGGACAGCAGGACUAGACAAAUUGAUCCAGCAAACACAUGUGCAAGUAUCAAUGACCAAUACUGAUCAAUCAAUGGUGAGUGAUGAUCAGAAUUUCAAAACAGGGAAGCUUACGGGCAAUUCCAUGGCAACGAAAUGAUACUGAGACUCACAUUUUUCACUUUAAAAUGUAUG